Molecule: ribosomal RNA, 301 nt
Filed under: uncultured bacterium
Lineage: Bacteria
Description: partial 16S ribosomal RNA
Rfam family: Bacterial small subunit ribosomal RNA
Source: RNAcentral
CAGCAGCCGCGGGAAUACGUAGGUGGCAAGCGUUGUCCGGAAUUAUUGGGCGUAAAGGGCUCGCAGGCGGUUUCUUAAGUCUGAUGUGAAAGCCCCCGGCUCAACCGGGGAGGGUCAUUGGAAACUGGGAAACUUGAGUGCAGAAGAGGAGAGUGGAAUUCCACGUGUAGCGGUGAAAUGCGUAGAGAUGUGGAGGAACACCGGUGGCGAAGGCGACUCUCUGGUCUGUAACUGACGCUGAGGAGCGAAAGCGUGGGGAGCGAACAGGAUUAGAGACCCCGGUAGUCCCUGUCUCUUAUAA